AGGAUAAACGCUGGCGGCGUGCCUAACACAUGCAAGUCGAACGCGCUUGCUAUCCGCGAGGACGGUGAGCGAGUGGCGGACGGGUGAGGAACACGUGGGUGACCUACCUUUCAGUGAGGGAUACCGGCGAGAAAUUGCCGACAAGACCGCAUACGCUUCUCUUUUCAAGGGGAGAAGGAAAGCUUUUCGCAAGAGAGGCGCUGGGAGAUGGGCCUGCGGCCGAUUAGCUAGCUGGUGGGGUAAUGGCCUACCAGGGCGACGAUCGGUAGCUGGUCUGAGAGGACGAUCAGCCACACUGGGAUUGAGAACGGCCCAGACUCCUACGGGGGGCAGCAGUGAGGAAUUUUCGGCAAUGGGGGCAACCCUGACCGAGCAACGCCGCGUGCAGGACGACGGCCUUCGGGUUGUAAACUGCUUUUCUCGUGGGACGAGCAAGGACGGUACCAGAGGAAGAGCCCGGCUAACUACGUGCCAGCAGCCGCGGU
This 485-nucleotide ribosomal RNA is filed under the name uncultured bacterium. Its description in RNAcentral is "SSU rRNA". It matches the Rfam family "Bacterial small subunit ribosomal RNA", at positions 26 to 521 of the family's 1533-position model. The record is from RNAcentral.